Molecule: ribosomal RNA, 486 nt
Filed under: uncultured bacterium
Lineage: Bacteria
Description: partial 16S ribosomal RNA
Rfam family: Bacterial small subunit ribosomal RNA
Source: RNAcentral
AUUGAACGCUGGCGGCAUGCCUUACACAUGCAAGUCGAACGGCAGCACGGGUGCUUGCACCUGGUGGCGAGUGGCGAACGGGCGAGUAAUACAUCGGAACAUGUCCUGUAGUGGGGGAUAGCCCGGCGAAAGCCGGAUUAAUACCGCAUACGAUCUACGGAUGAAAGCGGGGGACCUUCGGGCCUCGCGCUAUAGGGUUGGCCGAUGGCUGAUUAGCUAGUUGGUGGGGUAAAGGCCUACCAAGGCGACGAUCAGUAGCUGGCCUGAGAGGACGACCAGCCACACUGGGACUGAGACACGGCCCAGACUCCUACGGGAGGCAGCAGUGGGGAAUUUUGGACAAUGGGCGAAAGCCUGAUCCAGCAAUGCCGCGUGUGUGAAGAAGGCCUUCGGGUUGUAAAGCACUUUUGUCCGGAAAGAAAUCCUUGGCCCUAAUACGGUCGGGGGAUGACGGUACCGGAAGAAUAAGCACCGGCUAACUACGUG